RNAcentral lists this long non-coding RNA (1213 nucleotides) under Homo sapiens (human). Its description in RNAcentral is "HSALNT0317007". Lineage: Eukaryota; Metazoa; Chordata; Mammalia; Primates; Hominidae. The record is from RNAcentral.
ACACUGGCCUCCUCGAGCGCGCCGCCCGCGCCCAGCGCCCCACGCCCCGCGCCCCGGGCCGUGCAGCCAGCCCUUACCUUGCAGCGCCCGGCUGUCUCCCGAUCGCUAAAGCUACUUAUCCCGGGAAAGCUCGCGCGGGACCCGGGAACGAACCCACAGACAAAAAGUGAAACUUCGGCAGGGCUGGAGCGGCUGCUGGUUGGUGCCUUUCCCCCUCCUUCCUCCCCACCGUCCCCACCCCCUCCCCUUGGUCUCCCGUGCGGUGCCCUGAGCGCUGGAGGCUGACGUCAGGGGCCUGAAUUCCUGACUUUGCCUGCACGCAUUUGUCCAUGUAAGGUAUGGGAAGGCGUGUGCCCGCGAAGCCGCCGCGCAGAGCUCGCCUGGCGGGGGAGGGGAAACCCGCAGCCGGCAGUGGCUUUGCCAAAAGGUGGGCGCACUGAGGGCAUUGCAUUUCCUGGGAGGAAGAGGAGGAGACGCGGGAAUGCAGGGAGCUUGCAAAGGAGGAAGAGAAAGAGGGAGAUGUGGAGACUUUGCCCCUGCUAGAGGAAGAGGAAGGAGACGUAGGAGGAAGCGGCCGCGUCAGGGGGCUCCUGGAAAAUGGAAAAGCCUGCGUCUACUAUUAAGGCGUCAAAUUAGGGCACUGAGCUUGAGUGGAAGAGAUCCAGCCAUGAAAUCCCCUUCCAAGAUUUUCCUCGUGAGCCCCGCCCUGGAUUCCCAGCAAGACUCAAAACUUACAAGGUGUCAGAGCUGGCAAAGACCAACUUCCAACCCGUCCGCUUGGCACGUGAGGAAACUGAAGCUCUCGGAAGAGAAAUGACUUGUACAGGGUCGUCACUCAGCAGAUCGAGGAGCGGGCCCAGGCGCUCUGCCUCCCACUUGGGUUCCCGCCUCCAGGAAGGGCCCUGGCUCCCUUUUAGCCCUGAGCCUUGAAGCAGGUUAGAUGCCCGCGAGCUGUGCGGACCACCCAGUGAUUUCUACUGCUCUUGGCCCAGAGCCAGUUCCUGGAAGGUCCUGGUUGACAGCGAGCCCUGAAUAUCAAUGACAAUCAGUUGCUUCAGGGCAACUUCCUCUGUCCUGUGCUCAAAUAAAUGAAUCCCUGGAGUUUAACGUUUACUUCUGAGCCCCGCCCAGAAAGCUUGCUCUGUGCUUAUAGCUUCAAAAAAGUCUGCGAACGAGAUGAACUGGUUUGAAUACAGACAAGCCUGUCAUUGGA